GCCUGAUGGAGGGGGAUAACUACUGGAAACGGUAGCUAAUACCGCAUAAUGUCGCAAGACCAAAGAGGGGGACCUUCGGGCCUCUUGCCAUCGGAUGUGCCCAGAUGGGAUUAGCUUGUUGGUGGGGUAACGGCUCACCAAGGCGACGAUCCCUAGCUGGUCUGAGAGGAUGACCAGCCACACUGGAACUGAGACACGGUCCAGACUCCUACGGGAGGCAGCAGUGGGGAAUAUUGCACAAUGGGCGCAAGCCUGAUGCAGCCAUGCCGCGUGUAUGAAGAAGGCCUUCGGGUUGUAAAGUACUUUCAGCGGGGAGGAAGGGAGUAAAGUUAAUACCUUUGCUCAUUGACGUUACCCGCAGAAGAAGCACCGGCUAACUCCGUGCCAGCAGCCGCGGUAAUACGGAGGGUGCAAGCGUUAAUCGGAAUUACUGGGCGUAAAGCGCACGCAGGCGGUUUGUUAAGUCAGAUGUGAAAUCCCCGGGCUCAACCUGGGAACUGCAUCUGAUACUGGCAAGCUUGAGUCUCGUAGAGGGGGGUAG
This 541-nucleotide ribosomal RNA is filed under the name Escherichia coli. RNAcentral's name for it is "bacterial SSU rRNA". It matches the Rfam family "Bacterial small subunit ribosomal RNA", at positions 128 to 664 of the family's 1533-position model. Lineage: Bacteria; Pseudomonadati; Pseudomonadota; Gammaproteobacteria; Enterobacterales; Enterobacteriaceae. The record is from RNAcentral.